This 455-nucleotide ribosomal RNA is filed under the name Dendrelaphis ngansonensis. Its description in RNAcentral is "partial 16S ribosomal RNA". It matches the Rfam family "Bacterial large subunit ribosomal RNA", at positions 1938 to 2608 of the family's 2925-position model. Lineage: Eukaryota; Metazoa; Chordata; Lepidosauria; Squamata; Colubridae. The record is from RNAcentral.
UACCCUAACCGUGCAAAGGUAGCAUAAUCAUUUGUCUACUAAUUAUAGACCUGUAUGAAAGGCAAAAUGAGGGUCUAACUGUCUCUUAUAGUAAAUCAAUUAAACUGAUCUCCUAGUAAAAAAGCUAGAAUUUUAACAUAAGACCAGAAGACCCUGUGAAGCUUAAACUAAACUAUUAAAACUAAUAAUAACUACUUUCGGUUGGGGCGACCUUGGAAAAAAAAAGAACUUCCAAACACUAUGAUAUAAUCAUACACAACAGGCCAACAAGCCACCUACGACCCAGCAUAGCUGAAAAUUGAAACAAGUUACUCCAGGGAUAACAGCGCAAUCUUCUUCAAGAGCCCAUAUCAAAAAGAAGGUUUACGACCUCGAUGUUGGAUCAGGACAUCCUAAUGGUGCAGCAGCUAUUAAGGGUUCGUUUGUUCAACGAUUAACAGUCCUACGUGAUCUGA